Molecule: ribosomal RNA, 465 nt
Filed under: uncultured bacterium
Lineage: Bacteria
Description: partial 16S ribosomal RNA
Rfam family: Bacterial small subunit ribosomal RNA
Source: RNAcentral
GACGAACGCUGGCGGCGUGCUUAACACAUGCAAGUCGAACGGAAAGGCCCCUUUGGGGGUACUCGAGUGGCGAACGGGUGAGUAACACGUGAGUAACCUGCCCUUGACUUCGGGAUAACUUCAGGAAACUGGGGCUAAUACCGGAAAGGAAUCCUUGCUGCAUGGUGGGGGUUGGAAAGCUUCGGCGGUUUUGGUUGGACUCGCGGCUUAUCAGCUUGUUGGUGGGGUAGUGGCUUACCAAGGCUUUGACGGGUAGCCGGCCUGGGAGGGCGACCGGCCACAUUGGGACUGGAAUACGGCCCAGCCCCGUACGGGACGGAACAGUGGGGAAGGUUGCACAAUGGGCGGAGGCCUGAUGCAGCAACGCCGCGUGCGGGAAAACGUCCUUCGGGUUGGAAUCCGCUUUCAGCAGGGGAGAAGCUUGUGGUGACGGUACCUGAAGAAGAAGCACCGGCUAACUACGUG